Molecule: non-coding RNA, 76 nt
Organism: Podarcis lilfordi (Lilford's wall lizard)
Lineage: Eukaryota; Metazoa; Chordata; Lepidosauria; Squamata; Lacertidae
Source: the annotation of a GenBank genome assembly
GGACAUGUAGCUCAGUGGGUAGAGCCUCUGCUUUGCACGCAAAAGGUUCCGGAUUCAGUACCCAGUGGCAUCUUCA